CAAGGUGUAGCUUAAAAUAAAGCACCUGGCCUACGCCCAGGAGACAUCGUACAAAAAGAUCACUUUGAA
Molecule: transfer RNA, 69 nt
Filed under: Balantiopteryx plicata (gray sac-winged rat)
Lineage: Eukaryota; Metazoa; Chordata; Mammalia; Chiroptera; Emballonuridae
Description: tRNA-Val
Rfam family: tRNA
About the family: Transfer RNA (tRNA) molecules are approximately 80 nucleotides in length. Their secondary structure includes four short double-helical elements and three loops (D, anti-codon, and T loops).
Source: RNAcentral